UGCAUAUCAAUAAGCGGAGGAAAAGAAACUAACCAGGAUUCCCCUAGUAACGGCGAGUGAGGCGGGAAUAGCUCAAAUUUUAAAUCUGACUGGCGUUGGUCAGUCCGAGUUGUAAUUUGAAGAAGCGUUUAUCACGUUUUCCGUUCGGGUUCAAGUUCCUUGGAAUAGGACAUCAGAGAGGGUGAGAAUCCCGUCUGUGAUCCGAUCGGUUUCGGUACGAUAUCGUUUCCAAGAGUCGAGUUGUUUGGGAUUGCAGCUCUAAAUGGGUGGUAAAUUCCAUCUAAGGCUAAAUAUUGGCGAGAGACCGAUAGCGAACAAGUACCGUGAGGGAAAGAUGAAAAGAACUUUGAAAAGAGAGUUAAACAGUACGUGAAAUUGUUGAUAGGGAAACGAUUGAAGUCAGUCAUGCCGGUGAGAAAUCAGCUCACAGGCUACUGUGGGUGCACUUUUUCGCAAGGCAGGUUAACAUCGGUUUUUGUUGCGUUAUAAUAAUUGUAGGAAGGUGGCUCCUUCGGGAGUGUUAUAGCCUACUUUAGAUGACGUGACGGGGACUGAGGAUUGCAGCGGAUGCCUUUGGCUACGAAUCUUGUCUCUGUCGAUCUUCAAUUGGUUUUCAGCUUGCUGAGAUCUGCUUGAUAGGUUUACAAUAGGUUUGAUUUCGUUAAAUUCGUUAAGGAUGUUGACGUA
This 687-nucleotide ribosomal RNA is filed under the name uncultured Glomeromycotina. RNAcentral's name for it is "eukaryotic LSU rRNA". It matches the Rfam family "Eukaryotic large subunit ribosomal RNA", at positions 37 to 633 of the family's 3401-position model. Lineage: Eukaryota; Fungi; Glomeromycota. The record is from RNAcentral.